Molecule: long non-coding RNA, 2024 nt
Filed under: Mus musculus (house mouse)
Lineage: Eukaryota; Metazoa; Chordata; Mammalia; Rodentia; Muridae
Description: predicted gene, 36855, transcript variant 2 (Gm36855)
Source: RNAcentral
GGCCUCAAGCUCUCCAUCCUCCUGUUUCAGCCUCCAGAGUGCUGAGGUUACAGGGUCCCCCCUCCUUCUGCUCUGCUGGCGCUCGACCCAGAAGGCAGAGUCUCUCAAUCAAGCCAGAGCCCACCAUUUGGCUGGUAUUGCUUCUCAACUUAUUCUAGGAACCUCCCUAAGCACGGAUCUAUCUCUAUUUCCUGUUUCUUCUUGGUCUUUUUGAGGUAGAGUCUCACUAUAUAGUCCAAAUUGGCCUGUUCCUGCCUCUGGGUGACUGGGGUUCCAUAUGUAGACCAUUAAGACUGCUUUUGCUGUCGUUUUAAAAGCUCCAAACAGCCUCAGUUUCCCUCUCUGGGAAACGAGGGUAAUGGUGCCUCCUGUAUCAGGCUAUGAUGGCGGUGGAAAGAUUCUGUGAUAACUUCACAGAGCCCGGCCAGAUGACAGCUGGUCCUGUGAUUGCAAGCAGGCAUGCCCUAGGGAGGAGGUGGUAGUUAAAGACCUGUUCUCGGGGAUCAACUGGAAAGCACACAGAACCCCCGAAGUAGCUGGCCCAGCUGAGCCCCACUCUCUUUACCACAUCCCUUCUCUCCUUCACUGAGGCUUAGGACCUCUAUCUCUAGAUAGUUCUAGUUCUUUCUCUGUAAUAAAUAUUUGUCAUCUGCAGCCUUAAUCAAUCACAGUGAGAGGCAUAUCUGUGAAGUGUGCAGCCAAGGUCCUUGGAAGGUCCUGGAGGCGAAGUUGGAGAGGAAGUACUGGCCUGAGGCCAAGGGCAGCAAAGAGUGAAAAGGGGCCGGGGACAGUGUACAGAGCAGUGGCUGGCUUGUCUCCACUAUCAGACUUUACUCCAGGAGGAGGCAGAGGCCGUGUGAGAGCCGUGCCGCUUCACCUGGCUCCUGACCUAUAUUGGAAGUGACAAACACGGGCUCCGAAAUGCUUACAAGGCACCUUGCCGGCAAGCACUGUGAAGUGAAAAUGAGACUAGAUGCUGAGCAAGUCCCACAAACUGUGUGCCCAAGCUCUGGACAGAGCAGAUAGACACAGUCUUCCUCUGAACUAUGCUUGCUGCAGUCCCUCCACCAGCAUGGAGAAGAAGCUCACAAGGACUGUCCUUCAAGCCUAUAUCCAUGCUCAGCUGUGCCAGCAUCUCUGGGCCUCAGGAACACCGAAGUCCUCAUUCUGAGCCAGGAACACAAUAGAAAUUUCGCAUGCAUGCUAGCAUUGAAGCCUGACAAUGACCACAUUGUCCCCAUUCCACGUGGCAAAGAGAAUAAAAAGACCAGGAGAUGGCAGAAGGACCGAGGACCUGGGGAGAAGACAGGAGGAGACUGGGGAGGGGGGGAGGGGGAAGGAACUGCUGCCUCUUUCCCAUGGAGAGAGAAAUGCCACAGGAUCCGGGCACUCCCUACAUCUCUCCACCUUCCGCCACCCCGUGAGCCUCUGCAGGGAGAUUUUUCUGAAUAAUGGGCCAUUUUCCUGUUUUAAUCAGAUGCAAUUUUGCAAGCAGUUUUUAUGAUUUAGCAAGUCCAUUAAAACUGGCGUUUGUUCUGCUCUGACACUCGAAAGGGGCUCUGCAGAGCAUAAACAUUGGAAAUUACUUAUAGGGAGAGACAAUAUUAAAAUUCCCCAGCCCAAGCCUGUUGUCUGAGAGAUUCUGCUAUCAAGCAUCAUGCCAGCUAUCAUCAGAGGCACUGGAGAUAUAUACUGCCUCCUCUUUAUACACUGGCUGGGGGCUCAGCAACUCAGGCAGCAAUAAAGAGGCUGCUGCUUUCCUUCAACACUUUAGGCAUCCGGAGAGGAAUGGGUCUUAAAGGGAACUUGCGGGAAGAGCAGGUCGCAAGUACAGGCUGGAGAGGAGAAGGGCCAGUGAGCAUGCCUUUAAGAGCCACUGUGGAAACUGCUUUCCGGCCCACAGUGAACAAUAGGGUCUAUUGGUCCAUAAUUAAGGAGGUUGUUUUUUGUCAAUUUCAUUUGUAGUCAAUUCUCAAUUAUCCAUGUACUAACAGAUGACCUGUUCAAAUAAAAAAACCCUCCCA